GCUCCAUUCGUCUAUCGGUGAGGACGUUGCCCUUUCACGGCGAAAAGGCGGGUUCGAUUCCCGCAUGGUGCA
Molecule: transfer RNA, 72 nt
Filed under: Marsupiomonas sp. NIES 1824
Lineage: Eukaryota; Viridiplantae; Chlorophyta; Pedinophyceae; Marsupiomonadales; Marsupiomonadaceae
Description: tRNA-Glu
Rfam family: tRNA
About the family: Transfer RNA (tRNA) molecules are approximately 80 nucleotides in length. Their secondary structure includes four short double-helical elements and three loops (D, anti-codon, and T loops).
Source: RNAcentral